UGACUGUGUGCUUACCUUCUUGG
This 23-nucleotide non-coding RNA is filed under the name Rattus norvegicus (Norway rat). The record is from RNAcentral. Lineage: Eukaryota; Metazoa; Chordata; Mammalia; Rodentia; Muridae.